UCGGGAAUUUUGGGCAGUGGGCGAAAGCCUGACCCAGCAACGCCGCGUGAGGGAUGAAGUAUUUCGGUAUGUAAACCUCGAAAGAAUGGGAAGAAUAAAUGACGGUACCAUUUAUAAGCUCCGGCUAACUACGUGCCAGCAGCCGCGGUAAUACGUAGGGAGCAAGCGUUGUUCGGAUUUACUGGGCGUAAAGAGUGCGUAGGCGGCGAGCCAAGUUUGGUGUGAAAUCUCCCGGCUUAACCGGGAGGGUGCGCCGAAAACUGGUUGGCUGGAGUAUGGGAGAGGAAAGCGGAAUUCCUGGUGUAGCGGUGAAAUGCGUAGAUAUCAGGAGGAACACCUGCGGUGUAGACAGCUUUCUGGACCAAAACUGACGCUGAGGCACGAAAGCGUGGGUAGCAAACA
This 402-nucleotide ribosomal RNA is filed under the name uncultured bacterium. RNAcentral describes it as "bacterial SSU rRNA". It matches the Rfam family "Bacterial small subunit ribosomal RNA", at positions 355 to 774 of the family's 1533-position model. The record is from RNAcentral.